Molecule: long non-coding RNA, 691 nt
Filed under: Homo sapiens (human)
Lineage: Eukaryota; Metazoa; Chordata; Mammalia; Primates; Hominidae
Source: RNAcentral
UCUUUUCUCUGCUCCAUGGUUCUCAACUUAUUUGGGGGGAAAUACCUUGAGCAGAAUACAAUGGGAAAAGAGUCUCUACCCCUUUCUGUUCGAAGUUCAUUUUUAUCCCUUCCUGUCUGAACAAAAACUGUAUGGAAUCAACACCACCGAGCUCUGUGGGAAAAAAGAAAAACCUGCUCCCUUCGCUCUGCUAGAAGCUGGAGGGUGCUAGGCCCCUGUGUAGUAGUGCAUAGAAUUCUAGCUUUCUUCCUCCUUUCUCUGUAUAUUGGGCUCAGAGAGUACACUGUGUCUCUAUGUGAAUAUGGACAGUUAGCAUUUACCAAUAUGUAUCUGUCUACUUUCUCUUGUUUAAAAAAAGAAAAAAAAAACUUAAAAAAAUGGGGUUAUAGAAGGUCAGCAAAGGGUUGGUUUGAGAUGUUUGGGUGGGUUAAGUGGGCAUUUUGACAACAUGGCUUCUCCUUUGGCAUGUUUAAUUGUGAUAUUUGACAGACAUCCUUGCAGUUUAAGAUGACACUUUUAAAAUAAAUUGUCUCCUAAUGAUGACUUGAGCCCUGCCACUCAAUGGGAGAAUCAGCAGAACCUGUAGGAUCUUAUUUGGAAUUGACAUUCUCUAUUGUAAUUUUGUUCCUGUUUAUUUUUAAAUUUUCUUUUUGUUUCACUGGAAAGGAAAGAUGAUGCUCAGUUUUAAACA